Gloeobacter kilaueensis JS1 is the source of this 143-nucleotide regulatory RNA element. Lineage: Bacteria; Bacillati; Cyanobacteriota; Cyanophyceae; Gloeobacterales; Gloeobacteraceae. The record is from Rfam.
GCACAACCGAAAAGCUCUGGGAGUCCGGGGGAUCAGCCCGGACAGAAUGGGGAAAGCGCGGUGCGAAUCCGCCGCUGUGCCGCAACUGUGAUGGCUUGAAAUACGGCCUCAGUCAGGAAGCCCACCCGUGAGUCGGUGAUUCC